AGGAAAGGCAGCAGCCCCAAGCUGGCCCAAGUGGGCAGAGGGAUCCUCCUCCUGUCAUCACUGGGAUGUCCUCUCUCAGAUGCCUAAGUCAUGGGGUGGAACUGCUGAGAAUACAAAAAAGACAACUCUUCCAGUCAAUGAUAGACCAUUUCAAAGCACUGGAAUAACCUUCCAAGGAAAACGCUGUGAUCUGCAUAUGAAAUGGCCAGAAAACUCCACCAGAAACAAGUUAUAAGCAGUGUUAAAAAGGAAGAUUGUCCUGCAUGGAGGCCUUCAAGGCUUUGAACCCUUGCUCUAGCCAGUGGAACAGAGAGUGGCUACACCAGCUUCACAGCUGAGCUGAAGUGGAGCAUCAGAACUGAAGAAGUCUUGGGUAAAAGCAGUCGUCUCGGGAAGCCGGCAGAGCUGCCCUAAAACACCACCGCUCUCCCCCUGCCCCGGCUAUGGCUUCGGAGGAUGUGUUUAAAGGCAGAUCAAGUUGUAACCGGCAGGGAUUUCUUCCAACAGCCCUUGUCGGGCUGGCAGACCCCUUGAUUUACGCCUGUCCUCGACGUCCUGCGUGGGGCUGGAUCUCGGUGGCUGCCCUGAAUAGGGCUUUUGCCGGAGCCGGGAUUACUCACACGAGUAACAGCUUGCGGGGAUUUGGCUUCCCCUUCCUGCUCGAAACACAGGAGAGUUGUUUUGGGGUUGUUGUUGUUUUUUUUUAAAGCAUAAUUAAAGCGAUGCUAAA
This is a long non-coding RNA of Pogoniulus pusillus (Red-fronted tinkerbird), 730 nucleotides long. RefSeq lists it as uncharacterized. The record is from RefSeq and is a predicted model, not a curated record. NCBI's taxonomy places the organism in Eukaryota, Metazoa, Chordata, Aves, Piciformes, Lybiidae. The transcript is spliced from 3 exons.